Long non-coding RNA from Passer domesticus (house sparrow), 949 nucleotides. RefSeq lists it as uncharacterized. The transcript is spliced from 5 exons. Lineage: Eukaryota; Metazoa; Chordata; Aves; Passeriformes; Passeridae. The record is from RefSeq and is a predicted model, not a curated record.
GUGAAGGAACUGGGUUGACUAAGAAAAUAAGCCUAUAGGCAGAAGGAGAGAAUGAAGAACAAGGGCAAAGCAAAUGCCCUGGGCAGUGUGGCAGUUAGCCCAAAGGAAAGGUGUAUACUGGUUCCUGUCUAUCUGUCCACCUGCUGGAUCCCACAGAAGAAACAAAGAACUUGUCAUAUGGAUGUACAAGAGGUACUGUCUGAGGAGGGGAAGUACUCUUAUUGUGAGUAACUUCUGUGACACUAUAAAAGGACAAGACGCAGUAUUGUAGAGCUGUGACAAGUCCUGCAGAAUGUUCAACUGUUUGUUCAGAGACUUCAAGACGUCUCCUUGUCCUGUGUCCUCACAAGCAGCCGUAGCUGUCUGCUGUCUGAUAAUUUGUUCUGGGGAAGGGAGGCAAAGAGAGCUAGUAUUCCUGCCUGGAAGUGGCUGCCAAUCAUGGAUAUACCAGAGGUCCACACCUGCACCUGGAGCCUCUAACUCAGCUUCUAAUUGGCCAAAUGACCAGAAGUUCCACCUGGGGGAAAAGGCCAGGGAGAAAAAAUAUGAUGCCACAAUAUGAUGAACGUUGCUCAGGUCCUACUGAUCUGAGGCUACAAGCAUGGAGCAGAGCAGAUAUUACAGUCAGAGCAGAGGAAGUACAUGAGUAGCCUGAAGUCCUACAGAAAAUUGGUGUCAAACCCAGCAUUUUAACUUGGGCCCUUUUGGAAGAGAGGGUGCUUAACCCUGGAAGGCUUCUACUUUCCCAAGGCAGCUUUCCGUGUGCUGAGUUAUAUUUGCAUUAUUGGCUGAAAUAACCAAUCUGAUCUCAGAGUGAAGUUCUGCAGCUGUUUUUCUACACUAUCUGUCAUGCACUUUUGAAGGGGCACCAAAGAUAAUAAUUGUAUGAAAGCUCUCUUCUGAUACUCUGUUUCUGUGCUGGAUGCUAUCACUUGCUUUGGUACAGAAU